CGAAUUAAAAUCAUCCAUCAUAUAACAUCACAUAAUACAUUGCCCAGAUUAACAUAACACAAUAAAACAUCUCUUGAAGACAUUUCCUUACACAUGAAUAUAGCAAGGACGAACAUAAUUUCACAAUAGAACAAUGGCACAUCUGCUACUUCCCUACAGUACAAUGGACUUCAUUCCACUCUUCUAUGAGACAUGCUCGAGAUGAAGUUGUCAACCUACAAGAACAUUACACUGUACAUGAAUCAAUCAAAAGAAAAGAAAUAUAAAAAAAUAUUAGAAAUAAAAAGAUUUGUGUUCAGCCUGAAGACUAUGUUAAAAAUCCCGUGAUAUAAAUUCUGGAGUAUAAUUAGUCCAACCUAAACUAGUCACUGAGUCUGAAAAUUAAACUUCAAACUAGAUUGUUCCAGGAAAAUAUGGACAAAGAAAAUGGAGACAAGAAAAUUCAAUAUCUUUUUGGUAUUUUCGCUUUACUGGAGGAAUUUAAGCACUGACACAAGAAAGAGUCAAUGACACAAUAAUUAGCAGACAUGUAAGAUAAUACAAAACAAGCUACUCCACAUUACUGUGAUAACCAAGUGCAAACCAGGGUGUAAGAACAUUACCGUGAGAUUUGAUCUUAGAGAAAUACAUUUUAACAAGAAGAUUACCGUGAGCCUUGAUCUUAGAAAAUUACACUUUUAAUAAGAAUUCUAAGUUAACAACAAUAUUAUCCAAGUGUGCAGCAAAGUGUAAGAACAGUACCGUGAGAUACAAAAUUUAAAGUUGAGCAGAACUAAAAAUACAAAGAAACUAUAUGAUAUAAUCACAAUUAUAAAGAAACUAUAGUACAACAACAGUUCACUAGCGUGUGAAUUUUUUAACACAUUCCACAAAUCUAUAGAAGUCACACAUGCCACAACAAAAUCGAGAACACGGACCAUACAGACCUCGUGAUAUACCAUCAAACUUCUUAGGUCCAAACUCUGUGUGAUAUACCAUCCUCGCCGCCGGCCAGACAAACUGCUCGCUCAGGGCAGAAAAUAGAGCGACGUUUCAGCACGAACAGAGGAACACAUAGGUUUCACGCUACCAAUGUCAAAUAAAAAAUGUUUUAUUUUUGUCCUUUUCCAACUGAGUAAUGGCCACACAUGCACAACACCCUUAUUACAUGGUCAGGGCCAACUCGACUCUAUUAGCUUUUGGUUACAAAGCAAAUUGUGUAACACUUACUAGAAUAUACACCAACACCAUUAGGUUUCCUCAAUUAUUCUACUCAUUCUAAUCACUGAAAAAAUCAUGAAUUUGUACAACACUUACUAGAAUAUGGGAUCUAUCAUCUGCAAAAGAGAGAGAUGCAUGUUGCGGGGAGGAGAAGAAAGACCUUCUCGCUCUCGAGGUGAGGGGGAGGUGCAGCUAAUGUGGGGCUGGAGGUCCAUGGUGUAUUGGACCAUGGAGCCGGACAGCCGUUGGUCCGUCUUCUCCACCUCGUCAGGU
This 1473-nucleotide long non-coding RNA is filed under the name Hordeum vulgare. RNAcentral's name for it is "long non-coding RNA (HVUL_LNC019725)". The record is from RNAcentral. Lineage: Eukaryota; Viridiplantae; Streptophyta; Magnoliopsida; Poales; Poaceae.